GGGGACCCGCAAGCGGUGGAUGAUGUGGAUUAAUUCGAUGCAACGCGAAAAACCUUACCUACCCUUGACAUGUACGGAAGCCUGGAGAGAUCCGGGUGUGCUCGAAAGAGAGCCGUAACACAGGUGCUGCAUGGCUGUCGUCAGCUCGUGUCGUGAGAUGUUGGGUUAAGUCCCGCAACGAGCGCAACCCUUGUCAUUAGUUGCUACAUUUAGUUGAGCACUCUAAUGAGACUGCCGGUGACAAACCGGAGGAAGGUGGGGAUGACGUCAAGUCCUCAUGGCCCUUAUGGGUAGGGCUUCACACGUCAUACAAUGGUACAUACAGAGGGCCGCCAACCCGCGAGGGGGAGCUAAUCCCAAAAAGUGUAUCGUAGUCCGGAUCGCAGUCUGCAACUCGACUGCGUGAAGUUGGAAUCGCUAGUAAUCGCGGAUCAGCAUGUCGCGGUGAAUACGUUCCCGGGUCUUGUACACACC
Molecule: ribosomal RNA, 474 nt
Filed under: uncultured bacterium
Lineage: Bacteria
Description: bacterial SSU rRNA
Rfam family: Bacterial small subunit ribosomal RNA
Source: RNAcentral